This 49-nucleotide ribosomal RNA is filed under the name Avena hirtula. RNAcentral describes it as "partial 18S ribosomal RNA". It matches the Rfam family "Eukaryotic small subunit ribosomal RNA", at positions 1783 to 1831 of the family's 1831-position model. The record is from RNAcentral. Lineage: Eukaryota; Viridiplantae; Streptophyta; Magnoliopsida; Poales; Poaceae.
UAAAAGUCGUACCAAGGUUUCCGUAGGUGAACCUGCGGAAGGAUCAUUG